This 2097-nucleotide long non-coding RNA is filed under the name Marmota monax (woodchuck). The record is from RNAcentral. Lineage: Eukaryota; Metazoa; Chordata; Mammalia; Rodentia; Sciuridae.
CAUGAAGUGCUUGUCUGUGGUUACAGUUCCUUGAGAAUAACUUGAAUUUUGAAAGAGAGAAAGUUGUCAAGACCAUCUUAUUACCUAGAUUGUAGAAUGGGCUAAUUGGUGCUUAAAUGUCUUUCAUCAGAAAGCUCUGAGGCCCAGAAGAGGUUUCACUUUGUAAAACUGGCCUGAUAUUUGAAUAUACAAAUCAGUCUUUUAAUUAUCUUCCAUUCUGGAAUGCCGUAGGCUUAGGCUAUGGAUGGACAUUUUAGUGGUGCCUAGGAAAUUCACAGACACAUACACGACAGGUAUGCAUGUGCCCUUUAUGCUUUGAUUUUGCUUUCUGUUGCCAGAAUUGCUGGAGGGAAGGACUGAGCACUGAUAUACCAUCAACAAGGGUCUCCCUUCUCUCUCAGCUCAUGUUCCUGAUAACUAUCUCACCCUACCGACCCAUGGCCUGAGGUGUCCAUUUUCCUGUUAUCUUGGUACAGUUCCUUUUCCGCAGGUGAUCAUGCAUUAGCAUAUUUGCUCUCUGCUUUUCAGACAAAUGCUGCUUUAAUUGGCACCAGGGCUAUAGAAGGAGGUCAAAGAAAUUAUCAAGUGGCUCUUAAGCAGAUGAGAAGAAAUAAAUGAUGAGCAUUAUCUCUAUUUUUUAAAAAGUAUUUAGGGUUGGAAAUAUAUGAACAGGUAUUAUCACUGGCUCUGGAAACAUUGAAGGUCAUGAUCAUUAAAGUUUAAAGGAUAUUUCUUAGUAGUCAGAUGGUUUGCAUGGGAACCCAAUUAUAUAAAUAACUCAGUAGUUCUCAGAAUUUAAAAAUCAUAUACAUGAUCAUGCCAUACCUUCCAACAAGGUGUGGAUAUACACACAUAUCUGGACAUACAUACUCCUUCAACAUCCAUACCUUCCAAUCCACCCUUAAAAUCAAUACACAUUUUUUUAACUUUUCAAACAUAAAACCAUAAAGAAAUACACUCGUCCAACCCACAUGUGUUCCUUCUGGUCCCCUUCACUCCCUUUUUCUGAUGCAUUUUGGGUGUAUCAACUCUUUUAAUGCACUUCCUUUAAAAGUUACACAUGCCUCAAUGUGUUCUAUGCCCCAUCCAUCCCUCAGUUGCUAAUGGUUCCAUCAAUCUCUGUUGGCCUUUAAAAACCAUGAAGUUCAUUCCGCUGGACUCAGAAGCUUGUUAAACACUGCAUUUUCAGCUGUCUGAAAUCCCCCCAGUAUUUUUGGUUUCUGGAAUUCAACACUUAUUGGGCACUUGUGAGAAACAUUGUCCUAGCCUUUGUGCCAACAAAUAUGAGAAAGAGCAUAGUCCUUACCCUCUCAGAGUUUAUAAGUUUGUCUUUUCACCAAGCAACUUUUGAAAUAUUCCCUGCUGCUGUUGACAGGAUCUGUUGAAUUUGGGGCAAAAAUAAACAAACUUUUGAUAUCCUCCAAAAACCCUGCCUCUCUGUUUGCAGAAAGAGAAUUCUUAUGUGCUUAUGUGCUCUACUGUUCAGAAAAUACAAGCUGCUCAACAGUGCUGGUUUUCUAUGCUCUCCCUCCUCCGGGCCAUAGUAGUCCAGGAGGAGUUAGAAAGAGUCCAGAAAUGAAUUCAGCAGUUCCCUUUUGUUUAGGGUGGACGCUUUCUCUCUCUCUUUUUUCUUUCAGCCUUCUCAGCCUCAGUGGGAAGACAGAAGAAAAAGCAGAUAAUCGAAGCAGGGAAAUCCAGGAUAAUGAGUGUUCUUGAAUAUAUAAGGGAAAUGUUGCAAGAUUAAUUUAUAUCUUUUUCAAACCAUUUCUGAAUUAGGCAACUACCAUAAUGAUGUAUAGGACUUAUGCCUAUAAGUCCUUAUGGUUCUUAGCUUCCAGUUGUUGCCUGGGUUAUAUUACAUUACAUUGCAUUAUUAGUUUUGGGUUAUAAAGAAAUAGACUCAAAAACACACUGAACAAAGUAAAAUUCAUAUGUAAUUCCACUUUCUGGAGAUAGCCAACUUAGCUCUUUUAUGAAAAAAAUUUUAGUCAUUUUAAAAUGUAUGUUAAUGUAAAUACUUGUGUCUCAACAGAUUUGGAUCACAGUGUAUAUUCAAUUUUUCCCAAUUUUUUUUUACUCAACUUUGUAUACAGAAAC